This 406-nucleotide ribosomal RNA is filed under the name uncultured bacterium. RNAcentral describes it as "partial 16S ribosomal RNA". It matches the Rfam family "Bacterial small subunit ribosomal RNA", at positions 30 to 526 of the family's 1533-position model. The record is from RNAcentral.
AUUGAACGCUGGCGGCAGGCCUAACACAUGCAAGUCGCACGAGUGGCGGAAGGGUAAGUAAUGUAUAGGAAACUGCCCGAUGGAGGGGGAUAACUACUGGACACGAUAGCUAAUACCGCAUCCCAUCGGCUGUGCCAAGGUGUGAUUAGCUAGUAGGUUGGGUAAUGUCUCACCUAGGCGACGAUCCCUAGCUGGUCUGAAAGGAUGACCAGCCACACGGGAACGUAGACACGGUCCAGACCCCUACGGGAGGCAGCAGUGGGGAGGAUUGCACAAUGGGCGCUGGCCUGAUGCAGCCAUGCCGCGUGUAUGAAGAAGGCCUUCGGGUUGUAAAGUACUUUCAGCGAGGAGGCUUUACUCGCAGAAGAAGCCCCGGCUAACUCCGUGCCAGCAGCCGCGGUAAUAC